GUGCGAGACCGAUAGCGAACAAGUACCGUGAGGAAAAGAUGAAAAGAACUUUGAAAAGAGAGUUAAAGAGUACCUGAAACUGCUGAAAGGGAACCGAAUCGUAUCCAGUGUCUAUAAUCCAUGGCAUAUUUCAUUGGCGAGUGAGUGCGUGCAGCGUUUUGGAAGUGGUUUUCCGCUCCUGUCGUUGUUGUGCAUUUGCUUGCUGGUGCCCUGCGCUGUGGUGGGACGUCAGAGUCAGUUUGUGUGUCGCGGGAAAUGGUUAUUGGGGAGGUAGGUCGCUUCGGUGGCUGUUAUAUCCUGGUGACUAGUCGUCGUGGCUGAGACUGAGGUGCCUACAAUGCGCUUUCGAGUCUGCGGAUUUCUCGUGUGGAUGUUUGCUUGGAUAGCUUGUUAUGUUGGCGAAUAAAUCGUGCGAUUGAGAUUUGUAGUAACUUGUUGCUGUUCGGGACUUUGA
Molecule: ribosomal RNA, 454 nt
Filed under: uncultured Oomycota
Lineage: Eukaryota; Oomycota
Description: LSU rRNA
Rfam family: Eukaryotic large subunit ribosomal RNA
Source: RNAcentral